UUUUUUUUCUCGGAAGGGCGAGUCGGAAGGGCAACUUGAGUCAGGAAAGGCAAACGGGCAGUUGCCCGGGCAACCAGAGCAACCCCCCUGUGCACGUCCCUGGUGACAGAACUUUCACUCGUUCAUGAUAAAUUAACCUCGUCUGUGUUGCGAAGCACUAAACUGACGUCUGGAGCUUCCGUGGCCUGAGACCGGGAUCUGACGUCACCUACCAAACAACAACACAGCUGCGUGGCGAUCACUCGGAGUGCCAGCGGUGCUGAUUGCAGAACCCAUCCAAUGAAGCACCUUUGUUCAGCUCUACAGGAAAAAACAGUCCCAGCUUUCAGCGUGGCUCUUUCCUCUCCUGCACCUUACUUCUUUGCUCAGUCCUUUGUUUUAACUUUUACUCCACAACACCUGAACACUACUGACUACAGGUUCUAUCAUUCUACAGUAAUUACUGUUACAGCACAUUAUUUCAAGUCAUAAAAACACUUUUUACAUUUGUAUCCUUUUAAUAUUGAUGUUUUCAAGAUAUGAUUUUAAACUGUUAAACUGCUGCUUGUGUAUUGGAAUAGUUUCUGUGUUGUUUUGUGAUGGAUCAGACUAAAUAUACUUAAAAUACAACUACAUUCUUUUUUAUUCAGUUUCCUACGUUAAUUGGAUAUUGCAUGAUCUAAACUUAACAAAAUAUGAUACAGAAAAAAUGAAGAUGGUAGUUAUAGACAUUUUGCAUAUACAGGAUGUUAGUAGAAAGUAAAAAAUGAAAUGCUGAUGUUAUAUGCUGGUUCUAAUUGGACGGUUCUUCGCAUCAACAUAGAUAAAACAUCUUUGAGCACCGACAAUGAUAGGAAGGGGUCUAGUCAGCUUUCUUAAGAGAACAGGGGCGAGUUCAGCGCCGACAAAACGUAGCAAAACGUUUUUUUCCACGGAAACGGUGGUGCCUUGAACACCCUGCUGUGUACGCAAGCGCUCUGAAUUUUCUUGCCUUUCCAACGCCGACCGUUGUGUUUACAAACUUGUGGCAGCUGAUUUGGUGUAAGACGAGCCCACCAAACGCGAGAAAACAUACCUCGAAGCCCGUUGCAGAACGUUGCGCAACGUUGCAAGGAAACAUGUCAUUCAGUCAGAAAACGUUGCAAAACGUUUUGAGAUUGAACUCCCCCCAGGGCUGAUGGGGGAGGCUUCAGGAGUUAACUAACUCCAGAAGAUGGCAGUGAUGCGACACCAUGGAUGCAACCUACCGUUUAAUGUCAAAGAGGAAGAAGGAGUGUCCGUUCCCAUAAUGCAUAGCGUCGUACGGCACUUUAUAAAACCAUGCGUGACUCCCUCUCUGCCUCUCUGUUCUGCGGCGGCGAGGCUUUCUGUCGAACAUGCUGUUGUGGCAGAGCGGCAGCCAUGGGACAGAGCUACCAGGCCCCCGUGUUUUCUUCAGGACUCAGACAGAGGUGCUGAGCUGCUUGCUGUGGAGCUGACAGUCAUGCUGCAGGCUAACUGAAGGGGCAUGUGGAGCAGCUGGUCUGCAGGGGGCAGCAAAGAGCUGAGCCUGAGCCAGUGUAAUGGUGCAAGGCUGGUCUGGAUUACUGGAAAAGCUCCUGUCUCAGUCCACCUGCUGGGAUGUGACUGGGCUGCUGCCAGUCACCGGUAAACCCUACAGCCUGUGUGAAACACUGACGUAGGGUUUGAGCUGAGCCGAAUGAAGCACAGUUGCUGCGGCUUGUCACCUGACUGACAAUAGAAUUUAACCUGGGUGAAGUGUAUAAAACCAAUUUGUACCGGGCUAUAAACAUGUGGAGAACUCUGCUUCCAGGGUUCUCGCUUACACUAGGCCAUGGCAGCUUCACUGGCGCCCGGUAAAAUUCCCCAGCACCUAUAAAUCUCUCUACAUGCCACUGCCCCAUGUAAGGGCUUGCUCUGUGUCUGGCGCAUAGAUAAGAUGCCUGCCUUUGGUGUGUGAGACCUGGGUUCAAUUCCCACUGAGACAUCACCAUUGUGGAGCAAGACACUUAACCCCUAGUUGCUCCAGAGGCAUGCCACCUCAUGUAUAGCAAUUGUAAGUCGCUUUGGAUAAGCGUCAGCUAAAUGAAUAAAUGUAAAGUCUAUCCUAAAUGUACACCUGUACCAUGUACAGGUGUUUGAAUAAAACUUUGCAGCAUCA
Long non-coding RNA from Micropterus salmoides (largemouth bass), 2140 nucleotides. RefSeq lists it as uncharacterized. The record is from RefSeq and is a predicted model, not a curated record. Lineage: Eukaryota; Metazoa; Chordata; Actinopteri; Centrarchiformes; Centrarchidae. The transcript has 6 exons.